Monodon monoceros (narwhal) is the source of this 1646-nucleotide long non-coding RNA. The record is from Ensembl. NCBI's taxonomy places the organism in Eukaryota, Metazoa, Chordata, Mammalia, Artiodactyla, Monodontidae.
CUCGCGUCGUCCCAGACUCUCCACAGCUCCCGCUGCCGAGACUCCGAGCAGACGUCGCAGCGGGCCAAGCGUCGCCACUCUGGGGACGCGAACAAGCUGGCGGCCCGCGCCCCUCUCCUGCUACCUGGUCGCGGGAAAACGAACUAGCACCGCUCCCCGGGCCGAGGCCAUUCCCCCGCCCCCACCGCCGGAAGAGCUGCCCUUCCCCGAUGGGAGGGGGGCGGGAAACUUUGCGAGACGACUGUUCCGCGCCUUUCUCGCGUGGCGUCGGAGAGGAACUUGGGUGGGUUUCCCGUCCGAGGCCUGACCACACCCUCCCACUUUUCUAGGCCUCGGACCUCAACCUCGUGGACUACGGAGCGGAGGGGGACACUUCGGGCCACUCGGAGGGUGGCACCGAAGUCAGGCGUCCCCAAGGGCUCUGGCGGAUGGCCAAGUUUGUGUUCUUUCCAUCCCACGCCGGAGUAGCGCUCGCUACUUUGGGGAAACUUCAGACUCCUCAACCCCGGCCACGAGGCCACCCCUGUCUUUAAGACCACAUAAGGAACACCAUGAUCCGUGCAUCUGUGCAGCUUGUUCCAGAGUCCCAGCCCUCACCAGCUGUGAGGUCACAUCUCUUGGAAGGCAGUCAUCUACCUCAACCAGCAGCUCCGAGAUGCUGGGCAGCGGGACCAUAUCUGCCAUUGGGAGAGCUGCCGCUGGUGCUCUGGGCUGUCCUACUCCUUCCGGUAGCCAAAGAGAGGAUGCGAGUUUUAAAAAUGCAUAUAUUCAGAGAAUAUGCACCUACUUUGUGGGAGGAAGAAAAAAUACGGCGCUGCUCAGCUAGUACACAGAGGAAACCAAAGAGUUCCAAAGGCAUGUUUGGGGACAGAGAGCUGUUUCAGGUAUCUCAAAGUAAAAAAGAUGUAUUUUGUAAAACCUUAAGAUGUAGAUAUUACCAUGGGCGUACUUGCAGCAAGAUUGCCUUCCCCAAACUAUUAAUUCAUAAAACGUCUGUCUCCUAAUUGGAAGGCGGGGGAUGCCUGGAGGCACAACUGGCCCAUCCCACCGCCUUCUGCCUGGAUUGUCCACAAAGCCACUGGGCCAGCAUGUGGCCCUCUGUGCAGAGGCCAAGAAGAGAGGCUGCAGACAGGUGGGGCUGCAGCUUGGCCACAAAGUGCUCCCUACCGCCACCAAGAAUGGAGCUGGGAUGGGGCUCUCCACCCAGCACAGAUCUUUCCCCAUCUCUCCCGUUGCCAGAAGCCUCAGGUGGGCUGGGCUGGUAGAGGAAUGAACUUAGCAGAGACCCACUUGGUUCCAGGAACCAUGACUUGAUACCGCUGAAUCACGAUUGCCUGCUGGAAGGGACAGUGCAGCCUUAGUCUUUGUAUGUGUGAAUUUAGUGUCUGCUCGGGGGCUAGAAUCAGAGCUGUGGUUGGAAGCAUCCAGCCCCAGAUUGUAAAGUGGGUAGGAAUUUUUGCUUGGUCACAAAGUCUGGUGUGCAGACACUAAUGCUCUUUAUUUUCCUUUUUCGUUCUUUUUUUUUUUUUUUUGCAGCCUCUAAAUUUUUAUUAACAUGCAUUUUUAAAAGCAAGCAUCCAUGCUAGUGUGUGUGUGGGGUAAGGGUGGGAGAGGAGGGCAGGGCAGGGCGAAGGAAUUCUGCUUUA